Molecule: small RNA, 54 nt
Filed under: Homo sapiens (human)
Lineage: Eukaryota; Metazoa; Chordata; Mammalia; Primates; Hominidae
Description: nc061 non-coding RNA
Source: RNAcentral
UUGUAACCUCAUUUUACCUUGAUUAGUGACUCAACUCAUGUUCUUGUUGUAGGG